GACGAACCGUGCGAACGUUAUUCGGAAUCACUGGGCUUAAAGCGCGUGUAGGCGGCCCGGCACGUCGGACGCUGAAAUCCCCCGGCUCAACCGGGGAACGGGCGCCGAUACGACCGGGCUGGAGGGGGGUAGGGGGCGCCGGAACUUCCGGUGGAGCGGUGAAAUGCGUUGAGAUCGGAGGAACGCCCGUGGCGAAAGCGGGCGCCUGGACCCCACCUGGCGCUGAGACGCGAAAGCCAGGGGAGCGAACGGG
This 253-nucleotide ribosomal RNA is filed under the name uncultured bacterium. RNAcentral's name for it is "partial 16S ribosomal RNA". It matches the Rfam family "Bacterial small subunit ribosomal RNA", at positions 524 to 776 of the family's 1533-position model. The record is from RNAcentral.